RNAcentral lists this ribosomal RNA (1348 nucleotides) under uncultured bacterium. Its description in RNAcentral is "bacterial SSU rRNA". It matches the Rfam family "Bacterial small subunit ribosomal RNA", at positions 28 to 1381 of the family's 1533-position model. The record is from RNAcentral.
GACGAACGCUGGCGGCGUGCUUAACACAUGCAAGUCGAACGAUGAAGCCCAGCUUGCUGGGUGGAUUAGUGGCGAACGGGUGAGUAAUACGUGAGUAACCUGCCUUUAACUCUGGGAUAAGCCUUGGAAACGGGGUCUAAUACUGGAUACGACCAACCCUCGCAUGGGGUGUUGGUGGAAAGGGAUUUUGUACUGGUUUUAGAUGGGCUCACGGCCUAUCAGCUUGUUGGUGAGGUAACGGCUCACCAAGGCGACGACGGGUAGCCGGCCUGAGAGGGUGACCGGCCACACUGGGACUGAGACACGGCCCAUACUCCUACGGGAGGCAGCAGUGGGGAAUAUUGCACAAUGGGCGCAAGCCUGAUGCAGCGACGCCGCGUGAGGGAUGACGGCCUUCGGGUUGUAAACCUCUUUCAGCAGGGGAGAAGCGAAAGUGACGGUACCUGCAGAAGAAGCGCCGGCUAACUACGUGCCAGCAGCCGCGGUAAUACGUAGGGCGCGAGCGUUGUCCGGAAUUAUUGGGCGUAAAGAGCUUGUAGGCGGUUUGUCGCGUCUGCUGUGAAAGCCCGGGGCUUAACCCCGGGUUUGCAGUGGGUACGGGCAGACUAGAGUGCAGUAGGGGAGACUGGAAUUCCUGGUGUAGCGGUGAAAUGCGCAGAUAUCAGGAGGAACACCAAUGGCGAAGGCAGGUCUCUGGGCUGUAACUGACGCUGAGAAGCGAAAGCAUGGGGAGCAAACAGGAUUAGAUACCCUGGUAGUCCAUGCCGUAAACGUUGGGCACUAGGUGUGGGGAACAUUCCACGUUUUCCGCGCCGUAGCUAACGCAUUAAGUGCCCCGCCUGGGGAGUACGGCCGCAAGGCUAAAACUCAAAGAAAUUGACGGGGGCCCGCACAAGCGGCGGAGCAUGCGGAUUAAUUCGAUGCAACGCGAAGAACCUUACCAAGGCUUGACAUAUACUAGACCGCCUCAGAGAUGGGGUUUCCCUUCGGGGCUGGUAUACAGGUGGUGCAUGGUUGUCGUCAGCUCGUGUCGUGAGAUGUUGGGUUAAGUCCCGCAACGAGCGCAACCCUCGUUCUAUGUUGCCAGCACGUAAUGGUGGGGACUCAUAGGAGACUGCCGGGGUUAACUCGGAGGAAGGUGGGGAUGACGUCAAAUCAUCAUGCCCCUUAUGUCUUGGGCUUCACGCAUGCUACAAUGGCCGGUACAAAGGGUUGCGAUACUGUGAGGUUGAGCUAAUCCCAAAAAGCCGGUCUCAGUUCGGAUUGGGGUCUGCAACUCGACCCCAUGAAGUCGGAGUCGCUAGUAAUCGCAGAUCAGCAACGCUGCGGUGAAUACGUUCCCGGGCCU